This 279-nucleotide ribosomal RNA is filed under the name uncultured bacterium. Its description in RNAcentral is "partial 16S ribosomal RNA". It matches the Rfam family "Bacterial small subunit ribosomal RNA", at positions 506 to 784 of the family's 1533-position model. The record is from RNAcentral.
UGCCAGCAGCCGCGGUAAUACGUAGGGGGUUAGCGUUGUUCGGAAUUACUGGGCGUAAAGCGCACGUAGGCGGAUUGGAAAGUUGGGGGUGAAAUCCCAGGGCUCAACCCUGGAACUGCCUUUCAUACUGGCGAUCUUGAGUUCGAGAGAGGUGAGUGGAAUUCCGAGUGUAGAGGUGAAAUUCGUAGAUAUUCGGAGGAACACCAGUGGCGAAGGCGGCUUUCUGGACCGAUACUGACGCUGAGACGCGAAAGCGUGGGGAGCAAACAGGAUUAGAUA